GUCCAAAGGCCGUGAUGAGCAGGCGUGGCGAACACAGCUUGGACCGGGCACUGCUCGGAUGCUGGUCGGAUACACGGAUCCAAAGCAGAACACCAGUAACCAGCACACCUGGGCCUCGGGGAAGGCGAUCAGAUGUACUCUUCCCUACUUCUCUGGCUAAGCACAACGAAAACCCUGGACAUUCGAUAUAAACAUGACAAGACUUGGAAGGGUGGGCAGAAGACAACAGACCGACUAGGGGCCUUGGGGCUGGGGAAUGGCAUGGGGCUCAGUCCCCUGGGGUCUCUGACUCAGACAUCCCAGAGGUGGAACUGAAGCCAGCAGCCAGAAACACCAGUGGGCACAGAAAAAAUUUUAAAGCCCACCGGAGAAGUCUGCUCUCUCCAAGGGGCAGCCCAACGAGACAGGAAGCACAGUAGUAGAGUAGCCAGCAAGUACUCCAUCCAGCCAAACACUAGGGGAGAGGCGGCCCCACGCCCACCUAGCCAGGCGGGAAACAAGGCGCUCCAGCACCCUGCCAGCUGGUGUCCAGGAACGGUCACGCAGAUUCAUCUGUGCUUGCUGGCUACAGCCCGUCAGUGUCGGGACACAGAGGCAAAGAGGCACAAGAAAAGGGCUUCCACAUCACAGCCACAAAGGCAAUGCUGACUAAAAUGAGAACACAGUGUUACCAAAGCCUCCUCAAUGGUUACACGGAACAGUGACAACGCCAAAUGCUGGAGAGGAUGAGGAGAAACCGGCUCCCACUAGUGGGAAGGUAAAAUGGUACGGCCACUCUGCACGACAGUUGGCUAUUUCUUAAAAAACCAAACAGGCAACUACCGUGUGACCCAACAAUUCCACUCUUGGGCAUUUACCCCAAAGAAAUGAAGACUUCUGCUCACACAAAAACCUGUCCAUGAAUGCUGAUAGUAGCUUUAUUUGUAAUCACCAAAAACUGGAAACAACUCAGAUGCCCUUGAGUGGUAAACGAUUAACCACACUGUGGAGCACCCGUUCCAUGGACUACUAUUCAGUAAUAAAAAGAAGCAUCGCCCUACAACAACCUGCGGGAUCUCCAGGAGUCAUGCUGAGUGAAGACAGCCCAUCCCCAGAGGCUACAUGCUGGCUGAUCCCAUUCACGGCACAUUCUGGAAGACAGAAUUACAGAAACGCAGAAGGUCAUUUAUGGGUACUGCAAACUCAAGAAGCACCUGACUUGCCAAGGAAAUACCAUGCGGACACGCCUUUGGUUCACACUCUCAAUGAAAACCAAUCGGAUCCUUCGGAACGCCUGACCAACUCCAGUGGCCUUAUCACCCACCAUCACCUGGAAUUCUUACCUGCCACUCUGCCCUCUUUCAGAACAUUUCCAACUGCUAAAAUGGACCAGAACUGAAGGGGCCCAGCAGAAACAAAAAACAAGUUUUAAAAGCAACAGACAAGAGCCUGUGGAUCGCCAAAGCAGACCAGAGACGCUGGAGUACGCAUCAGCACCGCCCGCUCGGCCACUGACCACAGAGGAGCAAGGGGCAGCCCCCAGACAGGACUAAGGCCUGGAGAUGUGCUCUGCUAAAUAUAGCUCCCUGGCCUGUGGGCUUAGAAAGGUGGCCGAGAGUAAGCAUCUGACACGCUGGGUAAUUUCUGUCACUUCCUGUUACUCACAUCCUGCUGUUCUCAUGCUGCCCAAGCACUGGGUUCACAGCACACAAAUCUCUACCUUGAAGCCCCCUGAGACCAGACUAUUCAAAACAGCUGGGAUGUGCGUAGACAACGGACUUCCUUGUGGUGCUGUAUGAAACACAAAAAUAGACACCACCAGGCAAACAAGCUCCUGGACGCCCCUGUGCAAAAGCAGCCCCAGAAGGAGGCCUGCCCUCCAGGCACUCCGCAUGCUGCCCAGCCCCUGAGCAGAGAGCCCCGGCUGAGCACCAACUGAACACCCUCCUCUCUGAAGCUGUACUCAUCUCUGGCCUCGGGGCAGCCGCCCACCAAAGCUGCUGGACCUGCCUGGGGACCAGAGCACACAGGCAAGGCAAGGCCCCCUCGGCCGCGCCCCACUUCCCAGCCCUCCUGAGGACACCGGACACCAGGAACACGGGAUGCCUGGGCAGGGAGCAGAGCCAAUGGGCCCAGAGGCUAGACCCGCAUGUAAUAAAUAACCUAUCAGAAGACAGAUUUUUUAAAAGGCACAAAAAUUAAAAGUUAUACCUAAAACUGAA
Molecule: long non-coding RNA, 2201 nt
Organism: Manis pentadactyla (Chinese pangolin)
Lineage: Eukaryota; Metazoa; Chordata; Mammalia; Pholidota; Manidae
Exons: 3
Source: RefSeq, a predicted model, not a curated record